GACGAACGCUGGCGGCGUGCUUAACACAUGCAAGUCGAACGGAAAGGCCCCCUUGUGGGGUACUCGAGUGGCGAACGGGUGAGUAACACGUGAGUAACCUACCCUUGACUGUGGGAUAACUUCAGGAAACUGGGGCUAAUACCGGAUAGGAGCUCCUGCUGCAUGGUGGGGGUUGGAAAGUUUCGGCGGUUGGGGAUGGGCUCGCGGCUUAUCAGCUUGUUGGUGGGGUAGUGGCUCACCAAGGCUUUGACGGGUAGCCGGCCUGAGAGGGUGACCGGCCACAUUGGGACUGAGAUACGGCCCAGACUCCUACGGGAGGCAGCAGUGGGGAAUAUUGCACAAUGGGCGGAAGCCUGAUGCAGCAACGCCGCGUGCGGGAUGACGGCCUUCGGGUUGUAAACCGCUUUCGCCUGUGACGAAGCGUGAGUGACGGUAAUGGGUAAAGAAGCACCGGCUAACUACGUG
This 465-nucleotide ribosomal RNA is filed under the name uncultured bacterium. RNAcentral's name for it is "partial 16S ribosomal RNA". It matches the Rfam family "Bacterial small subunit ribosomal RNA", at positions 28 to 507 of the family's 1533-position model. The record is from RNAcentral.